UUUUUUUUUUUUUCUCCAGACUAUAUGAGAAAACUCCUUCAUAAAAGCUUACAGCUGUGUUAAGCAGGUCACAUGUUUCAGAAUAACCAAGUCUAAGCUUCUCCACCCUUGGUUGAGUCCCCUGAUGCUGGUAAGGAAAUCCCUGGUGUGUGGAAUGACAGAGCCCUGCACAGAGGCACAUGAGGCACUGAAAAAUUUAUCUCCUCUUCUGAAGAAGCUGCUGCAGCAGAGGUUUGAUGUAUUAUGUAGUAAUGCACAAGCCCUCCCACCAGUCAGUGGCUACUCCAGCCCUAUCAGAAGGACCAAUAACCACAUCACCCCUGUACUGCAGAGCCAGCUCAGACAUUAACUCCCAAGGGCUGAACCACAACACUGAACUUUUACAUGAAGAAAUAAUCUGAAGUGCUGUGGGCGGUAAAAUACAGCAAGGCUGUUGUGGGAGAGGAUUGGUGACACAUCUACCUGGAAUAGCUGUGGGUCUCAGGCAGUGAAGCAGGACACAGAUUGCAGCUGCUCUGCAUAGCGGUGACCAAGUUUAGCAGAGAAGAUAAGGUGCCAUGUCUCAAAUACUGCUUUUUAUUAGCACAUCUGUGUGUGGAUCCAGGGAAAGAGAGUUCGUGAUGAUCAACAAUUCAGUGGAAAAGUUAGAGUAUCUGUUCUGACAUUUCCAGAAGCCAAGGAAAAGAAAUCAUAACAAUUGUAGGUGUUCAGUGAAGGCAUAAAGCCCACCAUAAAUUAGUCCGGGUGCAUCCCUCUCUGGAUGCUGAACCAUAAUCCCUAAGUGCCCAGCACUCGCAGAGCCUUAAUCCUUUUCAACAAUGGGAUGAGCUGGAGGCUAUAUCCUUUCAAGAUUUGCAUAACACCCUAGCACACAUGUCUUUUGGGAGGAUAAGGGCUGCUUAGUAUGUUCUGCAUUCACAUUUUUACAGCCAUUUGGUUUAUAUCCACGUCUCUCUCCCCAGUGGGAAAUCCCAAGCUCCAGACAUUGCCCUCAACACACCACCAUGCUGCUUAUGAGCUUCCCAGCUGGCUCAGCCCAGCAGAAAACACUUCUGCACUCACGUCCUGGGUGCAGCCCUUGCCCUGUCACACAAUGCAUCUUCUUGGGGCCACCCUAUUGUGACCCCCCAAACACACACAGGUUUGGUGUCCCCUAAAGAUACAGCAGCAGAAACGUGUAAGAAGAUGAGAACUGGGACAGCUGUGUGGAGAAGGACAAUGGCCAACUGAUAUCUCAUGGAAACCAAACCACAGCAUCCUGGUGUGAGGCUGGCUCACCAAUUGAUGAACCUUGCCUCACUCUUUAUUGGUCUUUCUACGCUACAUCCUUACCUUAAGGGUGAUCACCACAGAACUCCACAGUCAAUGCUCCAUUGCUGCAGCACUACACCAUUCCAUGUUUCAACUGGGUCAGCUGGAUACUGCAUCCACUGGAAUGAAGUUUAUUUUGAAACAAAACUGUUUUCUGGUGAAGUUCAUAUUUCCUUUGAAAGGGAGACGCAAUCCUGACAUCAGCCUUCCGCACUUUAAUUACUCUCAGUGUUUUCUUCAUGCCAGCAAUCUCCCAUGGAUGUAACAAUCAAUUCUCAGGACAAGGAUAGGUGAACAACUAACACAUCCGAACUGAAAAGAGAAAAAAGGUACGAAACAGAGAAAAAAACCUACAAUGAAAAUUAGCCCAAGCUUUAGUUGUCAGCCGAUAUCUUUGCUUUUUUCUUUUCCCAUCAGCUGUUUCCUUGACCUUCUUUUGCAAGCCCUAUAGCAGCUUCAUCUGCAAACUGAUAGAUGCACAGAGGUCCCCUGGCUCUUCUUCAGUAUUACAAGGCACUUGUGUCCAGCUGCAAAGAUUUUCAUUUUGCCAGGGACACAGUCCAACAUUAUUAACUGUGGUGUUUUCAAUAUAACUUUUAGCCUCAUGGCACUUUUACAAAUCUACAGUAGAAACACUGUGAAGUCCACACACUUUACAUGAUGAUAUGGAUCAUCCCCUAACCCCCUACAUGGGAGAAUAGGGUUAUAACAAGGAAGUGAAGAAGAAUCUUGGAAAUGUAACAACAUUUGAGUCAGACUGGACAUUAUUAAAGUCUGUCCCAAAAACA
Taeniopygia guttata (zebra finch) is the source of this 2099-nucleotide long non-coding RNA. The record is from Ensembl. Lineage: Eukaryota; Metazoa; Chordata; Aves; Passeriformes; Estrildidae.